RNAcentral lists this long non-coding RNA (2505 nucleotides) under Betta splendens (Siamese fighting fish). RNAcentral's name for it is "lncRNA (ENSBSLG00000016384.1)". Lineage: Eukaryota; Metazoa; Chordata; Actinopteri; Anabantiformes; Osphronemidae. The record is from RNAcentral.
GACCUCUGUCUCCACAAAAUAUCACUGUCGGCUCCAUUACAGUCAGUCAGAUCAGCGUUCACUGGAUGCUGCCACAAGCACAUUACAUGGCUGGAUGGACAUUUGUUGUACGCUAUUUGGACACGUCUUCAGGACGAGAGUGGAUAGUUGGGAUGACCAAUGUCUCCAGGUCAUCUGAGACUCCCGGGUCACACACUGUCGUCAUUGGAGGGAUGGAGCCUUACAGGAAAUACAUGGUUGAAGUGAAUACAGUCACCCUGCACGGGAUCGAGAGCUGUGCCCAGGUGCCUCUGACUGCACAGACCGCGGCGAGCCCCCCUAGUGGUCUGAAGGUGACGAGCGCCACUGGAAAUUUGACAGUCUGCUGGUCUCAUCCGCCUGAUGGCCAGCCGGAUGGUUAUAAUGUUACAUUCCACCCGCUUCACAGUCCCGGUGCUUUCUCACUCUGGAUAAACCAGUCCAGCCCCGGUGCACGCCGGGCAAAUCUGUCCAUUUGCAUUGAUUUGGGCACAUUUACUCCAGGUGAGACUUAUAAAAUCGGAGUGGUCUCACUGAGGGGAGAAGCCAGGAGCCAGAGCACCAGCACCAUGCAUACCACUGGUAAAAUACCCACAACAUAGAAACCACCUCUACUAUCCUGGUGUUUACAUGCUAUGAACUAUAUGUGUUUCUGUGUGUGCAGCUCCACUAGGAGUUCCGGUAGCAGUCCCACUGCGGGUGGGUCCGACCUCAGCCCAGCUGUACGUGCAGCAUCCCCAGCUUGGCCUGAUGGAUGGAGCGAGCGUGUGCGUGUGUCCUGGGCUGUGUGCAGCUGCGUGUGAGGGGCCGUGUGAGCACCUGUGCACCUGGUACUCCCUGGCAGCCGGCGUUCACGUCAUCACCCUCAGCAACCUCAGUCCUGGUUCGGAGUACCAGCUCAAGGUGCACAGCACGAGCCGAGCGCAGAGGGGACCCCCGUUCUACAGCCUCCCCUUUAAAACAGGUCUGUCUCCUCCCAGCAGACUGAGAGAGGGCUCGGUGACAGAUUCAUCCGUUGAGCUGCUUUGGGAUCCAGCACCAGGAGAAGCUCACAGCUAUGAGGUCAUUUGUCUUAACUGCGACCCUUCGCACAUGGUGCAGAAGGUGUUCAGUCAGAGCGCGGUGUUUUCUAAUCUGACUCCUGGCAGGCUCUACCGCUUCGCCGUACGAACAGAGAAGGAGUCGUUCGCCGACAGCUCCCCUGUCUCCAUCAACAUCACGGCAGCACCCAGCCCCGUGGACCUGUCUCUUGUCAAUAAAAGCGCAUCAUCUAUCAACAUUAGCUGGGGAACGGUCAGGGGAGAACUGAACGGGCUCAGCCUGUCAAUCCAAAACCAGACAUCCACUCAAGAGCUGAUGAUUUCGCGCCAGGCGCCCAGGUCGCAUACGUUCAAAGGCCUUGGUCCCGGAAGCCAGUAUUUAAUUGAAGUAGCCAGCAUCAGUGGGAAAAGGAGAAGUAAACCUGCUUCUAUGACUGUCCAAACUAUCCCAGCAGCACCACAGGAAGUGGCUCUUCCGGAGCAGGUGGUGACGUCUGUGUUCGUCACCUGGAGGGCACCUCCGGGGCAGGUGGAGGGUUACAGGCUUGCUCAUGGGCUGUGGUCUGUGGACAAGAAAUCGUGGAGCGAGGUGUUUGUCCAGAGCACAGCUUAUGAGAUCAGUGAUUUGAUUCCAGGGUCGGACUAUGGUGUCAGCAUUCAGAGCGUGCUGGGUUCAGACACCAGUCAGACCGUCAGCAGGGAGUUCAGCACACGCCCGGCCGGACUGUGCAGCCUCCAUGUGGACAACGUGAACGCGUCCUCUGUCGCUCUAAGCUGGGACGCUGCGUUGGGAGAGUUCGACUUUCACAGAGUCACGGUGGCCAACGCCUCAGUCACGAACACGCUCGUCAUACCCAGGGAGGCGCGGGUUGCUGUGGUUACGGGGCUGGCGGAUGGGUGCAGCUACAACGUGAGCGCCGAGCGAGUGCGAGGGGUGACGACGGGGAGCGCUGCCUUCCUGACUGUAACCACAGUGCCGGCCCCCGUGAGAGGAUUUCGUUUUGUGAAUGUGUCUGCACAUUCUUUCUCGCUGCUGUGGGAGCAGGCAGCGGGGUGUGUGGAUCGUUACCAAGUGAGCCUGCUACCUAAUCAGGGGACGGUCGCGGUCCGGCCUGCAGCCCAUGGGUACAUACAGGCCAAUGUGAACAAUGUCAGUCCAGGGACUCAGUACAAUGUCAUGGUCACAGCAGCGUCCUCCUCCAACACCAGUCCUGGAGUCAGCCGCAUGAUCAGCACCAACGACAGCGGUGAGACGUUUGUUGUCGUUGUUUGGCUGGCUUUGGUUCGUCAAGGCCAGUACAGUGCACACUAGUGGUGUGCCAGGAUCGAGUUUUACAUAAUAACAAUAAUGUGUCAUAUUGUGUUAUUGUUAAUUCACAGCAGAACACAAAUGGUCAACACUCUCUGUUUUCAUAAUAAAAUGUCUGAUCAUGAUAAAGCUCUGGCA